RNAcentral lists this transfer RNA (67 nucleotides) under Cheirogaleus medius (lesser dwarf lemur). Its description in RNAcentral is "tRNA-Phe". It matches the Rfam family "tRNA". Rfam says of the family: Transfer RNA (tRNA) molecules are approximately 80 nucleotides in length. Their secondary structure includes four short double-helical elements and three loops (D, anti-codon, and T loops). Further hydrogen bonds mediate the characteristic L-shaped molecular structure. tRNAs have two regions of fundamental functional importance: the anti-codon, which is responsible for specific mRNA codon recognition, and the 3' end, to which the tRNAs corresponding amino acid is attached (by aminoacyl-tRNA synthetases). tRNAs cope with the degeneracy of the genetic code in two manners: having more than one tRNA (with a specific anti-codon) for a particular amino acid; and 'wobble' base-pairing, i.e. permitting non-standard base-pairing at the 3rd anti-codon position. The record is from RNAcentral. Lineage: Eukaryota; Metazoa; Chordata; Mammalia; Primates; Cheirogaleidae.
GUUAAUGUAGCUUAAAUUAAAGCAAGGCACUGAAAAUGCCUAGACGGGUUACAUAACCCCAUAGACA